AAGGGCACCACAAGAACGCGUGGAGCAUGUGGCUUAAUUUGACUCAAGCGCGGAAAUCUUACCGGGUCCGGACACACUGAGGAUUGACAGGUAACAUCUCAUAAUCGCUUCGGCAUGUGUGGGUAUAAAUAUGCUAGGCUUUCAUGAUUAUGUGAUAGGUGGUGCAUGGCCGUUCUUAGUUCGUGGAGUGAUCUGUCUGCUUAAUUGCGUUUCACUAUUGGAUCUAUAUACCGUGCAUGUGUUGCGGCAUUGACCCCAUUGAUUUCACUAUCAAUGCGCGCGUCUUUCGCUUAGCUCACUGCGCUUUAGAUCCUGAAAGCAACGAACGUGACCGCAACCUCUUGUUGCUUUCAUACCCAAUGCGUNUAUACACUCGUGUAUAUCGCGUUUUAUAAAGCUUAUACAUGUAUUGCUACGGCCAUUACAUCACAAACUAGAGGGACCGCUGUUACUUUCUUUAAACCCAGAGGAAAGGUUGCGGGCAAAUAACAGGUCUGUGAUGCCCUUAGAUGUUCCGGGCUGCACACGUGCUACAAUGAUUAUUGCAGUGAGCAUCUCAUCUUUUACUACACCGCAUGCGCGAGUCUAUUUGUCUGCUCUGCUUUGGCUAGCUGCUCAAAUACGAUCUCUGCGCGCGGUAAAGCCUACUUCGAAAGUAAGCGGGUAAUCAAAUUAGAAGUAAUGAUUUCCUAUUUUCUCUGCACACAUAUAUGCGGCACAUCUACCCGGCAUGCCUUGUUGCAUGUUCUUUGUGCGUAGNUGUGUACCCCUUUUUCCGCAUGUGCAAUUGUCAAUUCAUGGUGGGGACAGACCAUUNUUCAAUUGUUGGUCUCGGUCUUAACUAGGAAUGCCUUGUACGGGUCUUUGGUUCAACAAACCACCCGGAAUACNUCCCUGCCCUUUGUACACACCGCCCGUCGCUCUUACCGAUGGACUUCUCUGUGAGUUUGAGGGACUGUCUUUGGCUGUUAUACGUCUCGGCNNNNNCUACCAUCUUAGGAAACUUAAACGAACAG
RNAcentral lists this ribosomal RNA (1016 nucleotides) under Bolivina sp. 13110. RNAcentral's name for it is "bacterial SSU rRNA". It matches the Rfam family "Eukaryotic small subunit ribosomal RNA", at positions 1160 to 1766 of the family's 1831-position model. Lineage: Eukaryota; Foraminifera; Rotaliida; Bolivinitidae. The record is from RNAcentral.